This 391-nucleotide transfer-messenger RNA is filed under the name Eubacteriales. RNAcentral's name for it is "UMGS1865 sp902795355 Standard tmRNA". It matches the Rfam family "transfer-messenger RNA". From Rfam's summary of the family: Bacterial tmRNA, also known as 10Sa RNA or SsrA, is named for its dual tRNA and mRNA-like properties. Its role is to liberate the mRNA from a stalled ribosome. Lineage: Bacteria; Bacillati; Bacillota; Clostridia. The record is from RNAcentral. RNAcentral also lists the same sequence under 1 other name.
GGGGGUGCAAUGGUUUCGACGGGGAUUUUGACACAUGAUAAGCGUGGCGAGCCGGGUAAACUCGAUAACUGCCCAACUUAAAAAAUAAACGACAACAACACUGUUGCUAUGGCUGCCUGACCUUACGCGAUUCGCGUAAGAUCAGCAGCGCCGCGGCCUGCGGGCCGCCCGUUCUUCCGAGGAGAACCACGGCCUCGGAACGAGCGUCAAACCAGUGGUGAACCUGCAUCGGCGGUUUCGCUCUUGAACCGAUCAGGAAGAAAAGGGCUACCUUGCGAAGGAGCGUGUCUGUUCGCGCCUUCAAGAGGGAAUUUCAAAUAACAGACUGUCCACGAAGAAAAUCAUGCCGAAGAAUUUUCGGACAUGGGUUCGAUUCCCAUCAUCUCCACCA